RNAcentral lists this unclassified non-coding RNA (350 nucleotides) under soil metagenome. RNAcentral's name for it is "partial contains 5.8S ribosomal RNA, internal transcribed spacer 2, and large subunit ribosomal RNA". The stretch from base 1 to 120 matches the Rfam family "5.8S ribosomal RNA", at positions 35 to 154 of the family's 154-position model. The record is from RNAcentral.
GAUGAAGAACGUAGCGAACUGCGAUAAGUAAUGUGAAUUGCAGAAUUCAGUGAAUCAUCGAGUCUUUGAACGCACAUUGCGCCCCCUGGCAUUCCGGGGGGCAGGCCUGUCCGAGCGUCAUUGCUGCCCUUCAAGCCCGGCUUGUGUGUUGGGUCGUCGUCCCCCCCGGGGGACGGGCCCGAAAGGCAGCGGCGGCACCGCGUCCGGUCCUCGAGCGUAUGGGGCUUUGUCACCCGCUCGAUUAGGGCCGGCCGGGCGCCAGCCGGCGUCUCCAACCUUCUAUUUUACCAGGUUGACCUCGGAUCAGGUAGGGAUACCCGCUGAACUUAAGCAUAUCAAUAAGCGGAGGA